Long non-coding RNA from Bos taurus (domestic cattle), 544 nucleotides. The record is from Ensembl. Lineage: Eukaryota; Metazoa; Chordata; Mammalia; Artiodactyla; Bovidae.
GCAUUAUCUUUAUUGAAAUUAUCCUGCAAUCUAGAAAUUAGACGUGGAAUAACCCAUGAUGAAGUCAUCCUGACCCAGCUAUUCUGAGCCAAGGAUCUGUUUCUGGAAACUCAAGCCAAGACAGUGGGAUGAACUGGAAGUGGUCCUAGAAAACAGACUCAUAAAUGGGAUUUUUUGAGUCUGGCCAGAAGGUAACAAGGAUCCUUUGUUGGUGCAUUCGCUCUGAAAAAAGAAGUUAAAAGUUUCACGUCCGUGAAGAAGGAGAAGGUGAGGAGUCCGUUCUGCUGCCGUAUAAAGAGACUCAUAUCUUCUGCAGCCAGAGGGCAGACUGCUGAAAGCCAGGCCUAUCAUUCGAUUAUAAGAUGACAAGGAUGGAGGCGCCAGCAUGGAAUCCCCUUAUCAAGGUUGCCACAGGAUUGAUUGAGCUAUUCCUUAUGCAUCUAGCGCCAGCCUGCUGCCUGGAGAAUCUCUCUGCCAAGGCCAAGUGUCUGCUUCUUGUCUCUGGGGCAUUGCUCUUGGAUGACAAUGUUGACCUCUACCACCG